GUUGCGUCUCUACCUUUGUGGUAGAGCACUCCUCCAAACGGAGACGUACACCUACCCCAAUCGGUGGAACUCCGGUGAAAUCUUCGUCCUCGUGUGGUAUCCAUUCUUACCCUUUACAUUCUUGUUAUCUAGUUGCUUCGGCUAUUGCACUUCAUCCUAGGGUUGCAUUACCUUUAGAAAAUUUAGUAAACCCUAGGUUAAGUGUUUGUAUCUUUCUAGAAAAGAAAAAGAAAAAUAUUAAAAUUUGUUAGUCGCCUAUUCACCGCCCCCCUCUAGCCGACCAUACUGAUCUUUCACCUCUUGUUCUUUGCAACCGAGAUAGGAGUAGGACUUCUCUUCCCAUCCUCAUCACUAUCAUCAGACUCAUCCACAUUCUCAACAUCUGGAGAAGAAGAGUGGCUAGACUUCCUCCUGUUUGGGAUGUCAUUGCCCUUUGUCUUCCACUUCUCACAAUGCUUGAGCAAAUCCUGACAA
Molecule: long non-coding RNA, 474 nt
Filed under: Brachypodium distachyon (stiff brome)
Lineage: Eukaryota; Viridiplantae; Streptophyta; Magnoliopsida; Poales; Poaceae
Description: long non-coding RNA (BDIS_LNC002870)
Source: RNAcentral